UAUAGAUAGAUAUGUAUUAUAUUGAUUGUUCUAUUCGAAUUUGGUUUUCCAGACCACAUCAGCCUUGAGUAAGAAAUCAGCGGUUGGAUGUUUACAAAAACUUUGUUAAAUGAAUUUGAAAAAAUCAUCACUCAACACUUAUCUCUGUGCGAUUUCCAAAAUAUAAAAUGAAGAAAAACAACGAAAUAUACCAUAAGUGACAACCAUAGAUUAUGAUUAUGGUUUUAUCUGUUUUGUUCACAGCAUAGAAAGUAAACAUAAAGCAACAUGAUAAGUGACAACCAUAUAGAGGAUGCCAGCAUCAUUUACUAAGCACAAAUGAAUAAAGAGGUCCAUCUUCUACACUAAACACCGCAUCAAAGCAAUCACAACCACAAAAUAUUUAUUGUUCACAGCAUCAAAGACCAAACCAACGAAGAAUAUCACGUAUGGUUGUCUUUUUUACCUGAAAUCAUAAAGUAAGAGAGCAAACAGACGUAGAUUCUCGUUUAGUUUUUGGGUUUUCCAACUCCAUAGUUCCAUUUUAAUUCCCAA
This 534-nucleotide long non-coding RNA is filed under the name Brassica napus (rape). RNAcentral describes it as "long non-coding RNA (BNAP_LNC017950)". The record is from RNAcentral. Lineage: Eukaryota; Viridiplantae; Streptophyta; Magnoliopsida; Brassicales; Brassicaceae.